Small nucleolar RNA from Hippopotamus amphibius kiboko, 134 nucleotides. RefSeq annotates it as small nucleolar RNA SNORA70. Lineage: Eukaryota; Metazoa; Chordata; Mammalia; Artiodactyla; Hippopotamidae. The transcript has a single exon. The record is from RefSeq and is a predicted model, not a curated record.
UGGCAGCCAAUUAAGCCAACUGUGCCCUUUGCCCCAUGGGGCCCGGCGUGCAGUGGCUGCAAACAGCAGCCUCCUCGGUAGUGUACGAAGCCUGUUGCCUAUGUGGGUUGCCCUAAGAGACCCUGGAGAUAGCC